GCGCCCUUAGUUUAACGGUAGAACGGGGGUCUCCAAAACCUUUGAUGAGGGUUCGAUUCCUUCAGGGCGCG
Molecule: transfer RNA, 71 nt
Filed under: Candidatus Melainabacteria bacterium
Lineage: Bacteria; Bacillati; Candidatus Melainabacteria
Also listed under: 1 other name
Description: tRNA-Trp
Rfam family: tRNA
About the family: Transfer RNA (tRNA) molecules are approximately 80 nucleotides in length. Their secondary structure includes four short double-helical elements and three loops (D, anti-codon, and T loops).
Source: RNAcentral